UCUGGCAGGACUCCGCCGCGAGCCACCGCGGCGUUUCAGCAUCCUUCCGUGGCCCGUUGACAGUUGUUACCUGUGCCCCAGCGGGGCCCUCGCAGCCCCAAAGAUAAAACGACCCGGAUCAAGUGCCAGACACAUAAAUAUUUCUCUCCCUUUCUCUCUUUUCCAAAAUAGCUUUUAAUUGUACAAGUUUUAUGAGCUGGAUAUUCAGUGCAUAUGUUUUACAAGACACGCUGUCCUCCGUCUCACCCCGACACUUCGGCAAAUGUUUUGAUUUAGUUGUCUAGAAGGAAGCAAAAGUUAAUAAGUGGUGGGUGAGGGACCGGGGGGGAUACGCAAUGGAUGGAAUACAUUCCACUGGAAUCUAUGUAUCUCAUCGCUAGUUUGCUAGCGAGCGACGUACCGAUCGUUUUUACGAUCGGUAAAAAAGACGAGCGCCGCGUUGUUUCAAGGAUGAGGAGAUAUACUAAAAGCAUUGCAACAUAAACAACAAUGAGCUUUUAUCAUGACGGUGGUGUGUUUUUGAUCAACCGAAAUGGAAAUGAACAGAGCAGCAAGUGUCAGAGCGGUAACAAAUUCCAAAAAAAAAAGCACAGGUUUGACCGGACAUGUUUUAGGAUGGGGACGGAAAAGACAACAAAAUGACACCGUACAUCCACUACACAUGCAUGGAACUGAAUUCAGAAAAGAGCAAAAAAAAAAAAAAGUUUAUGGAAGGUGGAGAGCGCAAAAGUUGGAAUUGGCUUGGUGAAAAUUGGGUUCAGUGGAAAAAAAAAAAAUCAACAACACCUGUUGGAUCCUGCGGUCCAAGAAGGAGGUUAAAAACAAAAGUUCGAACCGGUAACAUUUCGUUGUAACACGCCAUUCUGAAUAAUGUGUUUUUUUCUGGGGUCACAAGGUCACAGGUCAGCACAAGGCCGUGUGGGCGUGCCCGCGAGUGUGCAAUAAAUGACUGACACCUGUUCGGCACUUCUUUUUUUUUCCCCCCUCUCCGAAUUUCUCCUCAGGGGUGGUGAGUUCAAUUGAGAAAGCACAAGCAGACGCGGGGGGGCAAAAAGCCCUGAUUUGUUUCACUGAUCAGAUUUAUGGACCACUGUCAAGUCAUAGUUUCAAAAUGAAAAAUAGAACAAAAAUCAAAUAAAAUUGCAAACUCUUCCUUUAAUCAAGAAGCAACUACAGCUGGCAGUAAAAAACAACAAACAUCCACAAUAUUUUGAAACUGAAAUAAAACCGUAUACAACUCUCCACAAUGCGACAAAAUGAGAACUCACCGCUAUAAAUUCUUCAGUUUUUCCCUUUUUCUAAUUGUUUCUCCAUGUGCUAGUAGCCUCUGUGUGACCUCCGCGCACUUUUUUUUUUCCCUUCUCCUGCACCUUUGCCAAUAUCGGCCACAUGUGUUUGGGUGACCAGAGCACCGCGGCAACCUCGCCAUUCGUCUUCAUUUCUACAAAAGUCGUCAUGCAUGCCGCAUUUUAGCUCCGUUCAAAGACAUCUGAGAUGGCUAUUUACGCUGCUCGUAGUUUGAAGCUCACGGCGCUCUUCGGUCAUCACGUGAUUUAUUGGGGGGGGAAAAAAAAUCGUGGGGGGAACGUGAAAUAAUAACUCACAGGAAGAGAUGCCAGAUAUGACGUUUAUUUCGAGUAAAGAGCUUUCAAGUUCUUCUUAGCAUCUUUUAUUUUGGAGUCCGGCCUCCAAUUGCACUGUUUGCCUGUUAACGUAUUGGAAAAUAUGUCACAUUGACUUUUUAAUAGCUUGCAUCCAAAUAGAUGCGUCUCUGGAGUGCUUGCCCAAGCAUCAAGUAUGAAAUUAAAUAAAUUAUUUUUGGUUAACUCCCUAGUUUGAAAAAAUGGACUGUGAUUGGGAAGAGGUUGAUUUUUUUUUUUUGCUCAUUUACACAACAAUGCCCCCACAUUGAGUUUAUCUGCCCAAAAUAUGACACCUAAACUGGUGCGCUAUCUGAAAAUUUCAAGACAUGGUAAGCAGAGCUGCAUUGCGUUUUGUUGGAGUUCAGUUUAUGCUUCUGAUAAACUGCACGUUUCUGAAAAUGUGUCCGUACUUUCAGAUUCCACCCCUCCACCACCCCCCCCCCCCCCCCGCCCCCACCAAACACCGAUUCUGUGCCGAUCACUUGGCAGCUAGGCUAGGUGAAGAGCCACCACUUUCAAGCCUGCGUAAAACAUGAGCCAAAAGAACAGAGGUAUGGAAAGAAGCCAAGUUGGACAGGCAUGGAAAAAGGGGCCUGUGAUACAUUCCAAAGCUGGGAAAUCCAUGAAUCGACUUGGAACCCCCUUUCAUACACACCAGCAGGAUGGAAAGAAGCUGGCUUUGAUUAACUGUUUGAAAGUAAAAGCCGCCCCCAGCUCGAUCCAACACGCACCAUCUUCAUAACUGCCGCCCAGGUCAGCAAGCUGGACAAAAAGCUGGCCGUGGGAAAGGGGCUUUUAAUACCUGCACAUGUAGGGUACAAUUAAUUUUGUGAUGAACUAGCUACAGGAAAAAACAAACAAAAAGACUGAACCAAAAACACCUGGAGAAAAAAAUCUGUCUGCCUCCAAAUUUAAAUGACUGUGUUUUCAUCCCCUUUCACACACCCUGUCUUUUUUGUGUCGUUCGACUCUGUGAAAGGCAUUGACACAGAUUGGUGGGGAUGACGAAAAUCUCUUCAACAACCAACAAGAAGUCCAAUUUCCUUGCAUUGAACAUUUUUUCAGUGUCUUUAGCCCCUUUCACACUGCCAUUAUCAUUGUCUUUUUCCCAUUUUAACCCCCUUUCAAACUGACCUGUGUGAAAGUGACCAACACAGAAAGAUGGGGGAGCAGCAACAACUCCCAAGAAUUCCAGUUACCUUCAAGUUUCCUUCUAGACUUUCAAUGCCCCUUCCACGCC
Molecule: long non-coding RNA, 2883 nt
Organism: Hippocampus zosterae (dwarf seahorse)
Lineage: Eukaryota; Metazoa; Chordata; Actinopteri; Syngnathiformes; Syngnathidae
Exons: 2
Source: RefSeq, a predicted model, not a curated record